CGUAGGGUGCUAGCGUUGUUCGGAAUCAUUGGGCGUAAAGCGAGUGUAGGUGGUCAAUAAAGUUGGGUGUGAAAUCCCUCGGCUCAACCGAGGAAGUGCAUUCAAAACUAAUUGGCUUGAGAGUGGUAGAGGAAGGUGGAAUUCCUAGUGUAGAGGUGAAAUUCGUAGAUAUUAGGAGGAAUACCGGAGGCGAAGGCGGCCUUCUGGACCAUUUCUGACACUGAGACUCGAAAGCGUGGGUAGCAAACAGGAUUAGAUACCCUGGUAGUCCACGCCGUAAACGAUGGGUACUAGAUGUUGCGGGAAUUGACCCCUGCAGUGUCGAAGCUAACGCAUUAAGUACCCCGCCUGGGAAGUACGGCCGCAAGGUUA
RNAcentral lists this ribosomal RNA (372 nucleotides) under uncultured organism. RNAcentral's name for it is "bacterial SSU rRNA". It matches the Rfam family "Bacterial small subunit ribosomal RNA", at positions 526 to 896 of the family's 1533-position model. The record is from RNAcentral.